This 406-nucleotide transfer-messenger RNA is filed under the name Candidatus Curtissbacteria bacterium. It matches the Rfam family "transfer-messenger RNA". Rfam says of the family: Bacterial tmRNA, also known as 10Sa RNA or SsrA, is named for its dual tRNA and mRNA-like properties. Its role is to liberate the mRNA from a stalled ribosome. The record is from RNAcentral. Lineage: Bacteria; Candidatus Curtissiibacteriota.
GGGGGUGUAUUGUUUCGACAGGAAUGCACAUUAAAAACUGCAAGCCGAAUACGAUUCUAAAGUGCGUUAUACUUUGAAUCAAAAUUUACGUGCAGAAGAUAAUUCUGACGCAAGACUGUUUGCCCUUACGGGUGGGCAGCCAGCUCUCGCUUUCGCUUAAUAUUUUUUAAGCAAAGCCUUAGAGCUUGUCUCUUUAAUUUUUUCCCGGUGGGAUUAUUGAGGCAACAACUUAGCCGGGAGUAGUUACAAUUAGUUGAUCAAUAAUUGUAAUGAAACUUUGAUCUUUGCUUUGUUUCUGUUUGUUAAUCGACAAAGAGGUGAGGCGAGAUUUUAAAGAUUAACUAAGCUUGUAGAUGUUUUUAAUUAGCUUUUCUUGGACACGAGCUCAAACUCGUCACCUCCACUU